This 216-nucleotide long non-coding RNA is filed under the name Elaeis guineensis (African oil palm). RNAcentral describes it as "long non-coding RNA (EGUI_LNC002409)". The record is from RNAcentral. Lineage: Eukaryota; Viridiplantae; Streptophyta; Magnoliopsida; Arecales; Arecaceae.
AGUGGAUCCACCAGAAGGUAUGUAUCUAUUAGAUGCAAAUGGAUCUACAAAAGAAAGAUAGGUUCGGAUAAAUAGGUAGAGACCUAUAAGGUAAGGCUUGUUGCGAAAGAUUAUAGUCAACAUAAAAGGUAUUGACUAUCAAAAAUUUUUUUUCACCUAUGGCUAUGCUAAAAUCUAUCCAGAUAUUGCUUGCUAUUGCAGCAUACCAUGAUUAUG